RNAcentral lists this small RNA (27 nucleotides) under Bombyx mori (domestic silkworm). RNAcentral describes it as "ovarian small RNA-25271". The record is from RNAcentral. Lineage: Eukaryota; Metazoa; Arthropoda; Insecta; Lepidoptera; Bombycidae.
UCACGAUUAGGACUCUAUGCCACCAGA